UACGUAGGGUGCAAGCGUUGUCCGGAAUUAUUGGGCGUAAAGAGCUCGUAGGCGGUCUGUUGCGUCGGCUGUGAAAACCCGGGGCUCAACUCCGGGCCUGCAGCCGAUACGGGCAGACUAGAGUUCGGCAGGGGAGACUGGAAUUCCUGGUGUAGCGGUGAAAUGCGCAGAUAUCAGGAAGAACACCUAUGGCGAAGGCAGCUCUCUGGGACGGUACUGACGCUGAGACGCGAAAGCGUGGGGAGCGAACAGG
This 253-nucleotide ribosomal RNA is filed under the name uncultured bacterium. RNAcentral describes it as "partial 16S ribosomal RNA". It matches the Rfam family "Bacterial small subunit ribosomal RNA", at positions 524 to 776 of the family's 1533-position model. The record is from RNAcentral.